RNAcentral lists this long non-coding RNA (586 nucleotides) under Erythranthe guttata (spotted monkey flower). RNAcentral describes it as "long non-coding RNA (EGUT_LNC002730)". The record is from RNAcentral. Lineage: Eukaryota; Viridiplantae; Streptophyta; Magnoliopsida; Lamiales; Phrymaceae.
GAUCCCCACCCCCAAACCCCAACCCCAGGUUCAACACCAUCACCUCCUCUUCUGCAAUCCAUAUCAGACCCGAUCCGCACAACCCGAGGCUAACCCAACUCCAAUUACAGCAACGACCUAUCUACAACAUCUCCAAACGAUUUCUCUCGACGGCGACGAGUUUGACGGCCGAACCUGCUAGGUCCAAAAAUUGCAUCUUUUUGUUCUUUUCUCUUCUCUUGCUCGCCUUAUCGCCGCCAUCGCCGUCAAAAUACGAGAUUGUGGUAAGGUUUGAGGCACGGGUAAAAUUUAUUGGUGGAAACUAAAAUUUCAAAGAUAUUGUGGGCGACGGAUUUGGAGAAGAUGGUGGUGGUGGUGGAGGGGUGAGUUGGUGGUGAGUGGCGGAGAAGAAGCGGCGGCCGGAUGGACAUGAGUGAUGUUGCCUGUGAGUUGGGUGGGAGUGCGGGCCUGUUAGUUGGGUUUGGAUGGCAGGGGUUUUGGAGAAGAAGCUAUUUUUUUUUCUUUUCUUUUCUUUUCUUUAUUUAAUAGAAUGUAAAAAUAUAUAAAAACUUUUAAUGUCACAAUAUAUAUUUUAUUUUGUUUUAAA